Pelobates cultripes (western spadefoot toad) is the source of this 283-nucleotide non-coding RNA. The record is from the annotation of a GenBank genome assembly. NCBI's taxonomy places the organism in Eukaryota, Metazoa, Chordata, Amphibia, Anura, Pelobatidae.
GCACAGGAAAGAGCAUUCUCAAAUUACACAAUGCAUUCUUGACAUACACACAGAAGCUUAGAAUUAUUUAGAAAGCAUAUUUCCUGCAAGAGAGAUCAUUGUAUGCACAUUUUAUGUAAGUGCUAAAUGCACUUUGUCCUUUUUUUAUGAGAUUUAUUACAUAAAAAGUAGGUCUGCUGCUCAGAGAAACGCAGUACAGUUCAACACAUUGUUAGAACACAUACGGAUAGUAUUCCCUGAACUCUGUAGCCAGUGAACAGAAAGGAAGUUUUUCUGCAAGGUA